This 255-nucleotide ribosomal RNA is filed under the name uncultured bacterium. RNAcentral's name for it is "partial 16S ribosomal RNA". It matches the Rfam family "Bacterial small subunit ribosomal RNA", at positions 524 to 776 of the family's 1533-position model. The record is from RNAcentral.
UACGUAGGGUGCAAGCGUUGUCCGGAAUUAUUGGGCGUAAAGAGCUCGUAGGCGGUCUGUCGCGUCGGCUGUGAAAAACCCGGGGGCUCAACCCCGGGCCUGCAGUCGAUACGGGCAGACUAGAGUGCGGUAGGGGAGACUGGAAUUCCUGGUGUAGCGGUGAAAUGCGCAGAUAUCAGGAGGAACACCGGUGGCGAAGGCGGGUCUCUGGGCCGUAACUGACGCUGAGGAGCGAAAGCGUGGGGAGCGAACAGG